GGGUUGUGAGGUUAAGCGACUAAGCGUACACGGUGGAUGCCCUGGCAGUCAGAGGCGAUGAAGGACGUGCUAAUCUGCGAUAAGCGUCGGUAAGGUGAUAUGAACCGUUAUAACCGGCGAUUUCCGAAUGGGGAAACCCAGUGUGUUUCGACACACUAUCAUUAACUGAAUCCAUAGGUUAAUGAGGCGAACCGGGGGAACUGAAACAUCUAAGUACCCCGAGGAAAAGAAAUCAACCGAGAUUCCCCCAGUAGCGGCGAGCGAACGGGGAGCAGCCCAGAGCCUGAAUCAGUGUGUGUGUUAGUGGAAGCGUCUGGAAAGGCGCGCGAUACAGGGUGACAGCCCCGUACACAAAAAUGCACAUGCUGUGAGCUCGAUGAGUAGGGCGGGACACGUGGUAUCCUGUCUGAAUAUGGGGGGACCAUCCUCCAAGGCUAAAUACUCCUGACUGACCGAUAGUGAACCAGUACCGUGAGGGAAAGGCGAAAAGAACCCCGGCGAGGGGAGUGAAAAAGAACCUGAAACCGUGUACGUACAAGCAGUGGGAGCACGCUUAGGCGUGUGACUGCGUACCUUUUGUAUAAUGGGUCAGCGACUUAUAUUCUGUAGCAAGGUUAACCGAAUAGGGGAGCCGAAGGGAAACCGAGUCUUAACUGGGCGUUAAGUUGCAGGGUAUAGACCCGAAACCCGGUGAUCUAGCCAUGGGCAGGUUGAAGGUUGGGUAACACUAACUGGAGGACCGAACCGACUAAUGUUGAAAAAUUAGCGGAUGACUUGUGGCUGGGGGUGAAAGGCCAAUCAAACCGGGAGAUAGCUGGUUCUCCCCGAAAGCUAUUUAGGUAGCGCCUCGUGAAUUCAUCUCCGGGGGUAGAGCACUGUUUCGGCAAGGGGGUCAUCCCGACUUACCAACCCGAUGCAAACUGCGAAUACCGGAGAAUGUUAUCACGGGAGACACACGGCGGGUGCUAACGUCCGUCGUGAAGAGGGAAACAACCCAGACCGCCAGCUAAGGUCCCAAAGUCAUGGUUAAGUGGGAAACGAUGUGGGAAGGCCCAGACAGCCAGGAUGUUGGCUUAGAAGCAGCCAUCAUUUAAAGAAAGCGUAAUAGCUCACUGGUCGAGUCGGCCUGCGCGGAAGAUGUAACGGGGCUAAACCAUGCACCGAAGCUGCGGCAGCGACGCUUAUGCGUUGUUGGGUAGGGGAGCGUUCUGUAAGCCUGCGAAGGUGUGCUGUGAGGCAUGCUGGAGGUAUCAGAAGUGCGAAUGCUGACAUAAGUAACGAUAAAGCGGGUGAAAAGCCCGCUCGCCGGAAGACCAAGGGUUCCUGUCCAACGUUAAUCGGGGCAGGGUGAGUCGACCCCUAAGGCGAGGCCGAAAGGCGUAGUCGAUGGGAAACAGGUUAAUAUUCCUGUACUUGGUGUUACUGCGAAGGGGGGACGGAGAAGGCUAUGUUGGCCGGGCGACGGUUGUCCCGGUUUAAGCGUGUAGGCUGGUUUUCCAGGCAAAUCCGGAAAAUCAAGGCUGAGGCGUGAUGACGAGGCACUACGGUGCUGAAGCAACAAAUGCCCUGCUUCCAGGAAAAGCCUCUAAGCAUCAGGUAACAUCAAAUCGUACCCCAAACCGACACAGGUGGUCAGGUAGAGAAUACCAAGGCGCUUGAGAGAACUCGGGUGAAGGAACUAGGCAAAAUGGUGCCGUAACUUCGGGAGAAGGCACGCUGAUAUGUAGGUGAAGUCCCUUGCGGAUGGAGCUGAAAUCAGUCGAAGAUACCAGCUGGCUGCAACUGUUUAUUAAAAACACAGCACUGUGCAAACACGAAAGUGGACGUAUACGGUGUGACGCCUGCCCGGUGCCGGAAGGUUAAUUGAUGGGGUUAGCGGUAACGCGAAGCUCUUGAUCGAAGCCCCGGUAAACGGCGGCCGUAACUAUAACGGUCCUAAGGUAGCGAAAUUCCUUGUCGGGUAAGUUCCGACCUGCACGAAUGGCGUAAUGAUGGCCAGGCUGUCUCCACCCGAGACUCAGUGAAAUUGAACUCGCUGUGAAGAUGCAGUGUACCCGCGGCAAGACGGAAAGACCCCGUGAACCUUUACUAUAGCUUGACACUGAACAUUGAGCCUUGAUGUGUAGGAUAGGUGGGAGGCUUUGAAGUGUGGACGCCAGUCUGCAUGGAGCCGACCUUGAAAUACCACCCUUUAAUGUUUGAUGUUCUAACGUUGACCCGUAAUCCGGGUUGCGGACAGUGUCUGGUGGGUAGUUUGACUGGGGCGGUCUCCUCCUAAAGAGUAACGGAGGAGCACGAAGGUUGGCUAAUCCUGGUCGGACAUCAGGAGGUUAGUGCAAUGGCAUAAGCCAGCUUGACUGCGAGCGUGACGGCGCGAGCAGGUGCGAAAGCAGGUCAUAGUGAUCCGGUGGUUCUGAAUGGAAGGGCCAUCGCUCAACGGAUAAAAGGUACUCCGGGGAUAACAGGCUGAUACCGCCCAAGAGUUCAUAUCGACGGCGGUGUUUGGCACCUCGAUGUCGGCUCAUCACAUCCUGGGGCUGAAGUAGGUCCCAAGGGUAUGGCUGUUCGCCAUUUAAAGUGGUACGCGAGCUGGGUUUAGAACGUCGUGAGACAGUUCGGUCCCUAUCUGCCGUGGGCGCUGGAGAACUGAGGGGGCUGCUCCUAGUACGAGAGGACCGGAGUGGACGCAUCACUGGUGUUCGGGUUGUCAUGCCAAUGGCACUGCCCGGUAGCUAAAUGCGGAAGAGAUAAGUGCUGAAAGCAUCUAAGCACGAAACUUGCCCCGAGAUGAGUUCUCCCUGACUCCUUGAGAGUCCUGAAGGAACGUUGAAGACGACGACGUUGAUAGGCCGGGUGUGUAAGCGCAGCGAUGCGUUGAGCUAACCGGUACUAAUGAACCGUGAGGCUUAACCUUACAACGCCGAAGGUGUUU
This 2932-nucleotide ribosomal RNA is filed under the name Escherichia coli. RNAcentral describes it as "23S ribosomal RNA". It matches the Rfam family "Bacterial large subunit ribosomal RNA". Lineage: Bacteria; Pseudomonadati; Pseudomonadota; Gammaproteobacteria; Enterobacterales; Enterobacteriaceae. The record is from RNAcentral.